Molecule: ribosomal RNA, 119 nt
Filed under: Diaphorina citri (Asian citrus psyllid)
Lineage: Eukaryota; Metazoa; Arthropoda; Insecta; Hemiptera; Psyllidae
Source: RNAcentral
AGUCGCGACGAUAGCAGGUUGAAUGCAUAAGUUUCCGAUGGAUCACUGAAGUUAAGCAACGUCCCGCGUGGUUAGUAUCCGGAUGGGUGACCAUCUGGGCAAUCGUGUGUUGUUGAAUU